This 406-nucleotide ribosomal RNA is filed under the name uncultured bacterium. RNAcentral describes it as "partial 16S ribosomal RNA". It matches the Rfam family "Bacterial small subunit ribosomal RNA", at positions 30 to 526 of the family's 1533-position model. The record is from RNAcentral.
AUUGAACGCUGGCGGCAGGCCUAACACAUGCAAGUCGAACGAGUGGCGGACGGGUGAGUAAUGUCUGGGAAACUGCCCGCUGGAGGGGGAUAACUACUGGAAACGGUAGCUAAUACCGCAUACCAUCGGAUGUGCCCAUAUGGGAUUAGCUAGUGGGUGGGGUAACGGUUCACAGAGGCGACGAUCCCUAGCUGGUCUGAGAGGAUGACCAGCCACACUGGAACUGAGACACGGUCCAGACUCCUACGGGAGGCAGCAGGGGGGAAUAUUGCACAAUGGGUGCAACCCGGAUGCAGCCAUGCCGCGUGUAUGAAGAAGGCCUUCGGGUUGUAAAGUACUUUCAGCGAGGAGGCGUUACUCGCAGAAGAAGCACCGGCUAACUCCGUGCCAGCAGCCGCGGUAAUAC